GUUAUUUGGAUACUUAAAGAGACUCAGUUAACUUUUCAACCCAUUAAUAUUUAUACCCUUUUAAGGUGUUAAAUGUUAACCUUGGAGGGCUAGGUUAAUAAUUACUCUUUUUAAAGAUUAAAACUUAUAAGCGUAACAUUUAACUCUUGAUUUUUUAAUUUUACAUAUCAUGAAAGUGCUAGGAUUAGGAAUCCUAAAACGAGAAAGUACUAAACAAACACUAAUUAGGAAUAUGAAACCGAUACUAACUAGGAAAUUUUAAACAAUAGAUUUCCUAAAUAAUGAAAAUACUACUUCCUAAUUAAAUU
This 308-nucleotide unclassified non-coding RNA is filed under the name Hevea brasiliensis (rubber tree). Lineage: Eukaryota; Viridiplantae; Streptophyta; Magnoliopsida; Malpighiales; Euphorbiaceae. The record is from RNAcentral.